UUCCUUCUUCUUCCGUCAUCUGCUGCUGCUGCUGCUGCUGCUGCUGCAUCUUUCGGCUGCUACCACUGCUCGGGGCUAGCGCGCUCGACGCGCAUUUCGCAGCGCAUUGCCAUGUCGUGACUCCGGCGGAGUUGCUGUGCCUCUCUCUCUCUCUUGGGCGCGUCUCUCGUUCUCUCUCCACGCGCGGCAUCUCUCUCUCUCUCUCUCUCUCUACUAUAAGGGGACCGCCUCAGGUAGCUUUGGUUCACGCUUCAGGAUGGAUGUAGAGGCAGGAGUACUUCGAAGAAUGGGCAGGGAUCUGUCUGUUGAUUUAGGGGAUGGCUACACAGGGCAUGACUGUUAGUUGUGGCAGGAUGGGAUCUCCUUGCUAUUGUUCUACUGGGUUAGGAUGCCGCCUUCUCAACUAAUGAAGAGCAUCGCUUGAGCCUUCUGUUGUGAACAAGGGAAGAUGAUUUCGCACGAUCAAGAUCAUGAAUUUGUUCAGUGGGGUCUCCAGCUCUUUGACAGCAAUCCAUAUUCCGAUUGCGGGUACUGUAGCACCGUGACUAAGGAUAAUUUAGACUACUAUCAGGGACCCUACUUCGAGGAAGAUGAUUAUAGCAUGGAAUGUGUGAAUGUGGAUAGUGAUGAACUUAUAGCACGUGUUCUUCAAGAGGAACUAUCUCAGCUCACUGUUACAGAAGCAGAUCAAUCUGUGCAUGAAGAACCUGAACAGUUGCAACCACCUUUCUUCUUGCACGAUUGGCCUGACCAAUCUAUUCAAAACUAUGCUUCAGGACAGGAGGAAGCGGAAGCUAUCUUACAUUGUGCAGGACAGGAGGAAGCGGAAGCUAUCUUACAUUGUGCAGGACAGGAGGAAGCGGAAGCUAUCUUACAUUCCAGUUCAUGUCCUAGCCCUGAUGAAGAGGCUUGCUGCAGGGAAGACUGGCCAUAUUCCUUAGAGCUGCCAGAUGAGUAUGCCUAUGAUGGCGAACUGGGAAGGAGGUUAAAUCAGAUGAUUUGUGUUCAACAUGUGCCAAAAACCAAUGGUGAAAUUCCCUCGGUGGAUGAAGCGACUUUAGAUCAUCAACGGCUACUUGAGAGAUUGCAGCUUUAUGGAUCUGGUGGAGCGCAAAGUUCAAGGAGAUGGUAACUGUCAGUUCCGAGCCCUGUCUGAUCAGAUCUACCACACUGCUGAGCACCAUGACUUUAUAAGACAGGAUAUCGUUAAACAGCUGAAGUCUUGCCCAGAGAUAUAUGAGGGAUAUGUGUCUAUGCCUUAUGAUGACUAUUUGGAGAAGAUGUCCAAGACUGGUGAAUGGGGUGAUCAUGUCACAUUGCAGGCUGCUGCAGACAUGCUUGGCGUUAAAAUAUUUGUCAUAACUUCUUUCAAGGACACAUGCUACAUUGAGAUUCUUCCAAAUGAUCAAAAGUCUAAACGAGUUAUAUUCUUGAGUUUUUGGGCAGAGGUGCAUUACAACUCAAUACACCUGGAGGGAGAUGUAUCUCCGUCUAAGAUGAAGAAGAAGAAAGGAUGGCGGAUGUUUCAACACAAGCACUUGGAGUCUUCAGAGGAAUAUCACAGACAGAGGGUCUGAUAGGUUCCGUUUCUUCUCCAAAAGAAAUGGAACUGACUCAUCUAUCACUGCGGAGGAAUUCCUAUUAUCUUUCUGUUAUGUACUUCCAGGACGUGCUUUCAUAGUUCGCAUAACAAAGGGAGGAGCUUCAAUCUUUCUUGUUCGACCGGCCUCGGCUCUGUUGUACAUCUCCUAACCUUGCCCGAGACUUUUCCUUUUGGCUUUAUUCUUUGAAUAAAAUGGUUUCAUCCUGUGGAAUUCUUUCACAGUACAGCUAGGCAUGGCAUUUUAUUUUCUUCUCCUCAGA
Eucalyptus grandis is the source of this 1863-nucleotide RNA transcript. It is a transcript of the gene named OVARIAN TUMOR DOMAIN-containing deubiquitinating enzyme 12, with no coding region annotated. The transcript has 11 exons. Lineage: Eukaryota; Viridiplantae; Streptophyta; Magnoliopsida; Myrtales; Myrtaceae. The record is from RefSeq and is a predicted model, not a curated record.